This 433-nucleotide ribosomal RNA is filed under the name uncultured bacterium. RNAcentral's name for it is "partial 16S ribosomal RNA". It matches the Rfam family "Bacterial small subunit ribosomal RNA", at positions 29 to 507 of the family's 1533-position model. The record is from RNAcentral.
AACGAACGCUGGCGGCAGGCCUAACACAUGCAAGUCGAGCGCACCCUUCGGGGUUAGCGGCGGACGGGUGAGUAACGCGUGGGAACGUGCCCUUCUCUGCGGAAUAGCCUCGGGAAACUGAGAGUAAUACCGCAUACGCCCUUUGGGGGAAAGAUGUAUCGGAGGAGGAUCGGCCCGCGUUGGAUUAGUUAGUUGGUGGGGUAAUGGCCCCCCAAGCCGACGAUCCAUAACUGGGUUGAGAGGAUGAGCACCCACACUGGGACUGAGACACGGCCGAGACUCCUACGGGAGGCAGCAGUGGGGAAUCUUAGACAAUGGGGGCAACCCUGAUCGAGCCAUGCCGCGUGAGUGAUGAAGGCCUUAGGGUUGUAAAGCUCUUUCAGCUGGGAAGAUAAUGACGGUACCAGCAGAAGAAGCCCCGGCUAACUCCGUG